CCCAGAACUGACUCACUUCUGCUCCUUCUGCCCCCUCUUUUCCCCAAGUGUCAAUGAAAUGCUACAAAGUGUUAAUCAAUCCCUGUGUAGGUGCAGUAGUUCCAGACUCACCGGCCAAACCCUCCGCCACCGAAGGCAUGUGGGCUGCUCCACGAGGUCCACCUGAUCCAGCAUCUGCCGCCGAACGCUCAGAAGCCAACCUUGCUGGCUAAUCAUUGGCUGAAAGCAUCUACUGACUGCUCUCAGCCUUUGGUAGCUAUCCUGAGAAAAGUAUUGUAAUAUGCAGAGAAUUGACAUUAGUCCACCCAGAAUCCUAGUCAUUGCCAGAAGUAGAGUUACACGACCAGCAGGUAGAGUUAUCUCCCUACGUCCAACAUUUCAUAGUAAAACGCUACCCACAAAGACUCCAGGCACCAUGACUACUUCAAAUCAUGGAAGUGAUCAUGGUGCGUAGAGUACCCUUUUAACAAUAUACUUUUUUUAAUACAUUUUUAAAUUUAAAUCACAUUCAUGCAACCUUUGAUCUAAC
This is a non-coding RNA of Pelobates cultripes (western spadefoot toad), 529 nucleotides long. The record is from the annotation of a GenBank genome assembly. NCBI's taxonomy places the organism in Eukaryota, Metazoa, Chordata, Amphibia, Anura, Pelobatidae.